This is a non-coding RNA of Macaca mulatta (Rhesus monkey), 5471 nucleotides long. Lineage: Eukaryota; Metazoa; Chordata; Mammalia; Primates; Cercopithecidae. The record is from RefSeq and is a predicted model, not a curated record.
CCAUUGCACUCCAGCCUGGGUGACAAGAGCGAAACUCUGUCUCAAAAAAAGAAAAGAGAAAAAAGAAAUCUGUGGGAAAGUUCAUUGACUGUUGCAUUUAGAAUUAAAGAAGAAUGAAUCAGUGAAACAGGAUGACUGCACUUACCUUUAUGUGAAGAGCUGAGAAGACUUCAUUCUAUCUUGCUUCCGACAGAUGUUGGUUCCUAAGACUUAAGUUGGCCUCUUUUCUUGGUACUCAUUGUUUGAACCUGAUGGAUGGACUUUUUCCAUUCUCUGGGCAUCUCCUUCUCCUAAAGCCUUCAGAGUCAGACAGCAUAAGGGUAGUUCAUCGUUAUGGUAGUUUCCUUUCUUUGUUCCCAGUGUGAUCUCUUCGAUUUCAUGGACUUAACAAUACUAUUUAUAUGCUGAUGACUCACAGAUUUCUCUCUACAGGCUAGAUAUUUCCUUAUCCUCCUACAUUUGCCUGGGAAUUUCUUGGAGAUCUAAUAGCUGACUCAAACUUCAAGUCAUCCUUGCUUCACCAUUUCACUCAUCCCACAAAUGCAGUCCAUUUAGCAAGUUUAGUCUUUCUCCUUAUAUCCCAAGGUCGUCUACUCCUUUCUCUAAGUUAUUUUCACUCAAGCUUCGAUGUCCAUUAUCUCUUGCCAAAAUUAUGAUAGUUUUCUCUAAUAGACUCUCAGUCCUUUACUCUUGUUUCUGUUCUCCACAUAAUACCCUUAAGGAAUUUAUUUUACUAUUUUUAUUUAUAAAAAUGAAUAUGGGAGUCAGGGGCAGGAGUCAAUGUUUCUAGCCUCUCACCUCCAAAAUCCCUAAACAUUAAGAUAAAUUAUCAGAAACAUCUUGGUUCUUAAAGACUUCAGGUUCUGACAAAAGUGUGGAAGGUAAUUAAAGCUUCAUAUAAGAAGGUAAAUCUUAGUUGGAAGAUGGAAAUAUCUAAAUUAUGGUCUAAAAAUGUUAUAUGAUAUAGCAAAUCUAUACUCAUUCACAGGGCACAAGCCUAAAAAUAUUUAUGCUGUAAUAUUUAAGACAAUGGUCAGUGUUAGUUACUGAAAAACAUACACACAGGAUGUUGCUUUUAAAUUGGAAAUCAGGACAUGUCAUCCUGCUCCCACUAUCAUUGGGAAUGGCAUCCUGUUACUGUUAGCACAAGAUCCAAAUUCUUUUCAGGAUCCUCCUACAAGGGAGCAUGCCAUGAUUUCUGCCUAGAUGUUUUUGUUUACUUAUUAAUGAAAAAUGUUUUGGUAUAACAUACAUAUAAUGUAAUUCUACAGCUAGGUAACUUUCUAGUCAGCACACUGUGCAACCAGCACCUAGAUCAAGAAUCAGAGUUCUGUGCAGAAUGGCAUUGGGUGAAUAUUACACUGUUUAUCUGUUUUACAUUCAGGCCAUUAUACUUAGUGUCCCUAUGUAUGUUUUUUAUGAAUAUCUUUAUUUAUUUUUUCUUUUCUGCUUUUGAAAAUGCUUAUCUCCAAAUGGUCUAGACUUAAUGAGAAGUUCCAAAAUAAUAUACAAAUUUCUUGCACAUUCUUUUUGCAAGUUCCCCAAAAUAUGAUAUUUUACCAAUUUGCUUUAUUUUAUCUAUACACACACACCACACACAGGUAUGGUUUUUCUGAACUCUUUACCCUAUAACUCAAGUGUGUAUAUCAUAGAAAGAAGGGCAUUCUUUUGUAUAAUCAGAAUACUGUGAUCAAAAUCAAAAUAUUGACAUUGAUACAGUAUUAUUAUCUAAACUACAGAGCUUACCAAAUUUAACCAUCUUACUAAUAUUUUUUAUAGUAAAUGGGAAAAGAAGCCCUUUUCUGGACCUCUUCUUGUUAUCUCACUUACUCUGUUGUGCAUACACUAGCUUUCAUAACAUCCGGAAGUCAGAGCUUGCUAAUUAUAACCAAUUCUUUUGGAAAGAAAUCAUAUGGAUGCAAUGAAUGUGCAGUGAAUACUUGUAAACUACUCAUGACUAUACCUGAGAGAACUCAUGCAGGAAAGAAAUCCCAGGAAUAUCAUGAUUUUAGGAGAGCCCUUCCUAGUGAGUUAAAGCUCAUUGCUCAUCAGCAAACUCAAAACAGGAGUGAGACCCUACUGAUUUAAUCAAUGUCAUAAAGCCUUCAUUGCAAAUUCAGGUCUUGUGUAUCAUCAGAAACCUCAUCAUAGAGAAGGGAAAGUCUGUACAUGCAGUAAAUGUGGAGAAGUUUUCCCUUGGAAGUCAAAACUCAUUUUACAUCAAAGAAAUCAUUCAGGAGAGAGACCAUUCAUUUGCAAAGUAUGUGAUAAAGGCUUCGUGGUUAGGACACAUCUCACUGUACAUCAGAGAGCUCACACAGGAGAGAAACCAUAUGCUUGCUCAGAUUGUGAGAAAGCCAUCUCAAAAAAGGCUUUACUCAUGAUUCAUCAGUGAAUCCACACAGGAGAGAUACCCUAUUAAUGUGUUCAAUGUCAAACAGCUUUGAAGACCAGAUCUGAGCUCAGUUAUCAUCAGAAAGUUUUUCAUAGAAAAGGAAAAUUCUAGGGAUGCAGUAAAUGUGGGAAAGCUUUUCCUUGGAAGUCAAACCUCAUUUUGCAUCUCAGAACUCAUUCAGGAGAGAGACCUUUCAGGUGCAAAGUCUGUCAUAAAGCCUUCAUUGUUAGAACACGGCUAACUAUGCAUCAGAGAACUCACACAGGACAGAAACCAUAUGCUUGCUUGGAUUAUGAGAAAGCCUUCUUGAAAAAGGCUCAGCCUAUGAAGCAUCGGUGAAUUCACACAGGAGAAAGACCCUAUAGAUGCAGUGAAUGUCAAGAAGCUGUCAUCUGGAAGUUGGAUCUCAACAAUCAUAAGAAAACUCAUCAUGCAGUAAGGAAAUCCCAUGAAUGCAGUGAAUGUGGGAAGGUUUUAUCCUCCCCCAAAAAACUUUGUUAUACAUCAGAGAACCCAUACAGGGUAUUCAUUCAGGAGAAGGACCCUACAGAUCGAGUGAAUGCGGGAAAGCUAAGAAGAAUCACACCUCAUUGCAGGUAAAAAUUAAAAUCUCAUGAACGUUUUUAUAAUGAGAACCUUCUCCAGAAAGUCAAAACUCUUUGAAUAUCUUGUUUAAGAGAGAACUCUCAUAGAUACAGUGAAUGUGAUUGUGAUAAAGUCUUCCCAGUUAAUGUUUAUCUUCCUUAUUGUAGCAAACUCAUACAAGAGGAAACCCCUAUUAAUGCAGUAAAUGUGGUAAAACCUUCAUGUAGAUACCAAAGGUCACUAAUUAUAUCAGCAAACCCAUGUAGUAGAUAGGUCCUUCUGAAACGGAAUGUGGAAAGCUUUUGAAAGUGACGUAUACAUCAGGUACUUAAAUCAGAAGGGAAAAUGAUAGAGUUAAACUUGGCCAUUGGCCACAAAACCCAUUGCAUAGCAGGAAAGAAUUGCAGUGAUUGUCUAAAACUCUUAUUUAAAAUUCAGAGCUCCUGAAUUUUCCCCUAACUCACUUAUCAGAGAGAUCCUAUUCUCAAAGAAGGCAAUAAUAUUUAGGUUCAAUGAGGUAUAAAAUCCUAAUGGAGCCAUAUCUAUUCUGCUUCAGCAGAUUCAUACAUUUACCUAAAAGCUAUGGUUAUAGUCACAGGAAAUAGUUUCUGUGGAGGAUUAGAUAGCAUUAAGCAUCAUAAGUUUUUAAAUAUAGGAGCAGAAUUUGCUCCAUACAGAGAUUUUAUGAACACAGUGAAAGUGGUAAAAGCAUCAGUGAUAAGUUAUUUUUUAUUUCAUGGAUUCACUUCUUCACAUCCUACCAUGUCUUAAAUUGUGAAGCAUCUUGUGAUCUGGAAUGUCAUAGCAAUUGUCAGGGCUUUUUAAAUGUGUGAUGGCAGUUUAGAUUUGAGUAAUUACACUUGCCUGUAUAUAUAAUUUUACAAUGGUUUUGCAUUAUUACAGAAAGGAUUCCAGAAAAUAUUCUAUAAAUAUUAGACAUUUCAUUGUCAAAUAUUCCUUUUGAAUAUAUGAAAAAUAAGAAUAUAAUAAGGAUUAGUCAAAUAGUGACAAAGGAUUUUAGGGGUUAUGUUGUGGACUGUACUAUGUGACAUGGACUUUACAUAUUUAUAAACUUUAUUGUUUAUUUGGAAUCACACGAAGAAACAAUUUUCAGGGUUAAAGAAAUUCUCAACAUAAGACAAAAUGUUGAAUAAUACAAUGUAGUGCAAAUAAAAUGUUUUUUUCUUAUGAAUCAAAAUGUCUUGUAAUACAUAAUUUGACUCAUUAUUAAGGAGUUUAAAGAAUUAUACCACGUAAGUGUGAAUUCCUUAUUUUUACUGUCAUUUGUAGUAUUUUUGCCAACUGUGAUGAUCCAUCACAAGUAAAAGUUUACAUUUUUCUAAAGCCUUGUGACUCUGAAACAUCCAAAGAUUAUAAAAGAUUUACCUAAAAUUUUUAAAAUCCAGCAACACAUUAGAGUAAUGGAAGAAAAAAGUGUGAGGUUAUAUGAGGUGAGUUUAUGGCUAUAUAUUUCAAGUUUGUGUCACACAGAAACUUUUGAUUUGUUACGAUAAUAUGCCAUUGCUUUGGUGGUUCCUCAAAAAGUUAAAUCCAGAAUUACCGUAUGACCCAGGAAUUCCAUUCCUAAGUAAAAUACCCAUGAGAAUUGAAAACAGGUACUCAACCAAAUAUUUGUCCAUGAAUGUUUUUUAGCACUGUUCACAAUAGCCAAAAUGGCAUUUGGUUGAAAAAACUCAAAUGCUUAUCGAAGGAUGAAUAAAUAAAAUGUGCUACAUGCCUGUACAUAUGAAUACAUAAAUGAAUGUUCAGCUAUACAAAUGAAUGAAGUACUGAUGACAUGUUGCAUGAAUGAGCCCCAAAAACAUUAUACUAAGUGAAAGAAGCCAAAUGCAAAUUCCACAUUUUAUACUUUCAUUUUUAUCAAAUCCUCUGAAUAGGUAAAUCCAUAGAGAAAUAAAGCAAAUUAAUGGUUAUUGGGCACUAGAGGGGAAGGGAGAAUGGAAACCAUCUGUAUAGUAUGUAUGGGGUUUUCUUUUAGAAUGAUGAAAAUGUUUUUGAACUAGUUAGAGAUGGUGGUUGCAUAAUAUUGUAAAUGUACUAAACUUCACUGAAUUGUACACUCUGAAAUUGUUAAUAUUUGAAUUUUUAUAUGAAUAAAAUUAUAUUUAAAAAGAAAAAUAUUGCGUGAACUCUGGCACUUCAAAUAUGGACUUUUUUUUUAACAAAAUGAGACUUACUUGACUGAAUCGUCUAUAAAACUUCUAGUGAGUAGUUAUUAAAAAUCAAGGUUUUUAUUACCUCCAUGUGAAAUACCUGACCUAUUUUAGUUAUCAGUGAAACCUAUUGUUUUGCAAGGAAUUCUAUAAAAAUGUACCAGCAAAAUCUUGCUUAUUUUUUUCUCUAGAUUUUUGCCCCUUCCCCACUUUGUUUGACAGUUGUCAAGAAACCUUUUCUUCACCAUUUUAUUAUGAAAAUCUUCAGACAUAAAGAUGUUUAAGGAAUACUAAAGUAAACACUAAUCUGGAUUUGA